GAUGAACGCUGGCGGCGUGCCUAAUACAUGCAAGUCGAGCGCACGGACGAGAAGCUUGCUUCUCUGAUGUUAGCGGCGGACGGGUGAGUAACACGUGGAUAACCUACCUAUAAGACUGGGAUAACUUCGGGAAACCGGAGCUAAUACCGGAUAAAAUUUUGAACCGCAUGGUUCAAAAGUGAAAGACGGUCUUGCUGUCACUUAUAGAUGGAUCCGCGCUGCAUUAGCUAGUUGGUAAGGUAACGGCUUACCAAGGCAACGAUGCAUAGCCGACCUGAGAGGGUGAUCGGCCACACUGGAACUGAGACACGGUCCAGACUCCUACGGGAGGCAGCAGUAGGGAAUCUUCCGCAGUGGGCGGAAGCCUGACGGAGCAACGCCGCGUGAGUGAUGAAGGUCUUCGGAUCGUAAAGCUCUGUUAUUAGGGAAGAACAUAUGUGUAAGUAACUGUGCACAUCUUGACGGUACCUAAUCAGAAAGCCACGGCUAACUACGUG
RNAcentral lists this ribosomal RNA (497 nucleotides) under uncultured bacterium. Its description in RNAcentral is "partial 16S ribosomal RNA". It matches the Rfam family "Bacterial small subunit ribosomal RNA", at positions 28 to 507 of the family's 1533-position model. The record is from RNAcentral.